Molecule: ribosomal RNA, 495 nt
Filed under: uncultured bacterium
Lineage: Bacteria
Description: partial 16S ribosomal RNA
Rfam family: Bacterial small subunit ribosomal RNA
Source: RNAcentral
UGAACGCUGGCGGCGUGCCUACUACAUGCAAGUCGAGCGAACAGACGAGGAGCUUGCUCCUCUGACGUUAGCGGCGGACGGGUGAGUAACACGUGGAUAACCUACCUAUAAGACUGGGAUAACUUCGGGAAACCGGAGCUAAUACCGGAUAAUAUAUUGAACCGCAUGGUUCAAUAGUGAAAGACGGUUUUGCUGUCACUUAUAGAUGGAUCCGCGCCGCAUUAGCUAGUUGGUAAGGUAACGGCUUACCAAGGCAACGAUGCGUAGCCGACCUGAGAGGGUGAUCGGCCACACUGGAACUGAGACACGGUCCAGACUCCUACGGGAGGCAGCAGUAGGGAAUCUUCCGCAAUGGGCGAAAGCCUGACGGAGCAACGCCGCGUGAGUGAUGAAGGUCUUCGGAUCGUAAAACUCUGUUAUUAGGGAAGAACAAAUGUGUAAGUAACAAUGCACGUCUUGACGGUACCUAAUCAGAAAGCCACGGCUAACUACGUG